RNAcentral lists this long non-coding RNA (1599 nucleotides) under Canis lupus familiaris (dog). RNAcentral describes it as "lncRNA (ENSCAFG00845004079.1)". The record is from RNAcentral. Lineage: Eukaryota; Metazoa; Chordata; Mammalia; Carnivora; Canidae.
UUUUUUUUUUUUUUUUUAUUGCUGCUGUUGAUGCUAAAAAGGACAUCUGGAAACUAGGGAUUAAAAGUUUUCAACUCCACAUGAGCUCAAGGUUAUAGCCCCAGACCUUAUGCAAGUAACUAAUCAAUUUUGCCAAGAUUCUCACAAAUAGAAUCUGCAAGAUCAAGACUGGUGUGUCAAGGGUCUCUUGUACAAAGAUAUAUUUUCAAAGCUACGGUCUUUUGGAAUUCUGUUUUCCUCUGUAGCCCACUAGGCCACUGGGAUAUACGGAAGCAGGAUUUCAAUAAAGACUAAGCUCUUAUUUUAUAUGCAGAAUCGGAACCAGAGAAGACCUGAAACUCCAUCAUGAGCAAGUGUUCAGGCAAGUUAUUUUAUGCAUCUCUCCUACACACAGACUAGAAACUAUAGCUCUAAAAUUGAUCCCACUGGGACCUGAAGCAAAACAUUUUCCAGGAUGAAUACAGUGCACUAAUUGCUCUCCCUCUAUACAUUUGUUCCCCAUCCUUUCCUGGUUGACCCCUUCUCUCCUUACCUCUGCCACUUGGUGAUCCCUCAAGAGAGGGAAAUUUGUUUCCUUUUUCUCUUAUAGAAUCAAAAGGAAAUACUCAUAAGAAACGUAUUGUCUGAAAUAAGAACUAAGAGGAUAAAGGGCACUUUCAAGAAAAGAAUUCCUUAAAAGCUAUUUCAUAUUUGACUAUGUUUUCAUUCACCAACUUGUACAAUGGAAUUCUUAAGAGAUCAGAAAAGGAAGCACCCCAAUUCCUUUACAGAAGACUAAUAAGGUCACUCAUCCUUUUGCCUCUUCUUCUUCUCCCUUGCUUAAGCCACCCUAAUAAAGAGGUGAAUUCCCCUCUCCUCUUUUUAUUUUCAUUGUGUGUAUGUCAAAGCCUCGGAUGCACAUUUUGUUAUUCUGGAGUCCUUAUUGGACAAAGAUAUUUGAGAUGUAAGGGGCAUGUUAAGAAACCAUUUAUCGUUUAUAUAACAGAGCUUUAAAAAGCCCAGGGUCAACACAGCAGUGUCUAUUUCACCAAAAGCCAAAAUUUUAAGUCAAGGGAAAAAGAGAAAUAGUGUUCUGAGGUUUAUUUACCGCAUACUGAUAAUCCAAAGAAAAACAAAAAUAGCAGAUUCUAAAUGCACUAUUACUGACUCUUCGAUGCAGAAAAAAAAGAAUUUUGAAUGUACAAAAUGAAAAAUCUUGAAAUUACAAUCCUUCAAAAUUCUUACUUGACAAUGUUUCUAGGUCCUGGCUUUAAUUUAGAAACAUCUCUGGAGCCAGAAUUUCCCUUUUCUAAAAUAGUAUAAGCAUCUUUAUCCUGGAAAUUUGGUUUCUAAACAUCUUGAUGAGGAUGAGGAUGAGAAUGAUUUCAAGAAUUUACUUUCAAAAACUUUUAUUUUGGGGAGCCUGGGUGGCUCAGUUUGUUGUUUGCCUUUGGCUUAGGUCAUGAUCCCAGGGUCUUAGGAUGGACCUCAUGUUGUCAGGCUCCCUGCUCUGCAGGAGCUUGCUUCUCUCUCUGUUCCUCCCUCUGCUUGUUCUCUCUCUCUCUCUCUCUCUCUCUUUCUCUCUCUUUCACCUGAAUAAAUAAAAUAUUUUUGGGGGGU